GCCUAGCGACAGGCCUAACACAUGCAAGCGAGGGGCAGCACAAGGAGCAAUCUGAGGUGGCGACCGGCGCACGGGUGAGUAACACGUAUGCAACCUGCCUGUAAGCGGGAAUAACCCGUGAAGACGGACUAAUACCGCAUAAUACUAAACUUACUGCAUGGGUAAAUUUUAUUUAAACAUUUUAUGGCUUACAGAUGGGCAUGCGCAUGAUUAGCUAGGUUGGAGAGGUAACGGCUCCCCAAGGCAACGAUCAUUAGGGGUUCUGAGAGGAAGGUCCCCCACACUGGUACUGAGACACGGACCAGACUCCUACGGGAGGCAGCAGUGAGGAAUAUUGGUCAAUGGACGAGAGUCUGAACCAGCCAAGUCGCGUGCAGGAAGAAUGUCCUAAUGGAUUGUAAACUGCUUUUGCAGGGGAAUAAAGUGCAGUCACGUGUGAUGUUUUGUAUGUACUCUGCGAAUAAGGAUCGGCUAACUCCGUGCCAGCAGCUGC
RNAcentral lists this ribosomal RNA (493 nucleotides) under uncultured bacterium. RNAcentral describes it as "bacterial SSU rRNA". It matches the Rfam family "Bacterial small subunit ribosomal RNA", at positions 36 to 518 of the family's 1533-position model. The record is from RNAcentral.